CGCGGGGUGGAGCAGUCUGGUAGCUCGUCGGGCUCAUAACCCGGAGGUUGUCGGUUCAAGUCCGACCCCCGCAACCA
This 77-nucleotide transfer RNA is filed under the name Bacillota bacterium. Its description in RNAcentral is "Firmicutes bacterium (anaerobic digester metagenome) tRNA-Met". It matches the Rfam family "tRNA". From Rfam's summary of the family: Transfer RNA (tRNA) molecules are approximately 80 nucleotides in length. Their secondary structure includes four short double-helical elements and three loops (D, anti-codon, and T loops). Lineage: Bacteria; Bacillati; Bacillota. The record is from RNAcentral.